UUUCUCUGUUGAUGCUAUGUACUCAGGUGAAUAUGAUGCUUGUGAUGUUGCUCUGAGUGUGGGUAUACACUCAGAGUAACAUCACAAGCAUCAUAUUCACCUGAGUACAUAGCAUCAACA
Molecule: microRNA precursor, 120 nt
Filed under: Paramuricea clavata
Lineage: Eukaryota; Metazoa; Cnidaria; Anthozoa; Malacalcyonacea; Plexauridae
Source: RNAcentral